GUGGUUGCUGGUGUCACUAGCAAGAAAUAAGAGUUAUUUUAUUUUAUUUCUUUUCUUUUGUUUGUGUGCGUUGGACUUGUGAUGGUUUUACACCUAGGUGAUAAGGCUCCUAGACUAUUGCCACGUGCAUUCGAUAUUUUUCAGAAGUUCAAAAGCCAGCACGAGUCCUCAUGUUUGUCAAAGUAAUGGUGGCAGCUGUUUUUUUCCCGCUGCGGUCUGGGAAAAUUACAGAAAAAAUGAUGAACAUCAAUUGUCCUCUGAAUACUGUGGUGUUUUGUCCGUUUAAGGUAAUUUGAGAAAACGGUCGGCAGUGUGAUAGAUAGGUGGAAGAGAUGCUUUUGUCCGCUUUGAAGUUUGAAUCGUUGAAAAGUAUAUGUUGGUGUUGGUCCUGUUCUACCUUUAGACCUGAUUGUUUGAAAACCCAGUCUCUAACAUUGCAUCUCAAUCAGUCCUGGAUUCUGCAUUUCUUGAAAACUUUGGGCUUUGACUGCUCUAUCUGCUGUAUAAAAGCUGAUCAGCUUUAAAU
Molecule: long non-coding RNA, 526 nt
Filed under: Setaria viridis
Lineage: Eukaryota; Viridiplantae; Streptophyta; Magnoliopsida; Poales; Poaceae
Description: long non-coding RNA (SVIR_LNC006026)
Source: RNAcentral